Long non-coding RNA from Lepus europaeus (European hare), 1152 nucleotides. RefSeq lists it as uncharacterized. The transcript has 2 exons. NCBI's taxonomy places the organism in Eukaryota, Metazoa, Chordata, Mammalia, Lagomorpha, Leporidae. The record is from RefSeq and is a predicted model, not a curated record.
CGGCGGCGGCGGAGCCCGGGUGCUGAGGCGGCGACGCGAGGGCUCACGGAUGGCGGCGGCGGCGGCGGCUGCUGGACUCCCGGGAAGGAGCUACCCUCUUGGUCCUAGGAGAGGACACUCCUUCUGAAAACACAUGAACAACUGGAAACUUAGUUUUUGGAGUCUGUGAUUCUGGCACUUGGGAACUGGGAGAAGACUCACUGUUCAAGUGGAUACAUCUUCCAUAACUUCCUCACCAGUGUUCCUUCAGGAUUCCCCUGUAAAACACCGCCCACUACAUUGUAGCAACUGAUAAUCCUCAACACUACUGCCAAUUAUCUACCUGAGGGCUGUGCCCCCUCCACCACCAGCACCACUGGCCCUAUUUUCUUUUCUUUCUUCCAGAAACUGGCUAGGCUUCAAUAACCUAAUGUAGUAGUGAUCACUGAGUGAUCCUUUUGUUUAGGAAAGUGGGAAUCGGUCACUUCUCCAAAUAAAUGGGGUCAACACAAAGAAUGGGGAGGUGUAGUGCAUGUUGGGGGAGGUUCACCAUAUUUUUGGGGAAUCUAGCAUGGGAGCGUUGCCCAGGGAUGGUAGUUAUAAAGGAAUGCAACUACAUUGCCCCCUAGUGGUUGUAAUGCAUAAACGUUAAAAAGAGACCUAAUUGUUUAAAGCCCCCAGUAUAAAAAUGGGCAGCAUUCCAUUGAGCAAAGACUCAUGUGGUCAAAGUCCUUUAGCAUCCAGACACUCUUCCCAGCACAGGUGCUACCACAAUGAGCAAGACAUGGCCCCUGUUUUCAAGAAACACACACUAUAGAAGGAGACAGUAUUCUUUUCCCUAUCAUUUCAACACAUGAUUGAGGAAAAUAAAAAUGAUACAAGUGGGUCCGGUGUUGUGGCAUAGCAGGUUAAGCCGCAGCCUGCAGUGCCGGCAUCAAGACCCGGCCGCUCCACUUCCUAUCCAGCUCUUUGCUAUGGCCUGGGAAAGCACUGGAAGAUGGCCCAAGUCCUUGGGCCCCUGCACCCACAUGGGAGACCCGGAAGAACUCCUGGCUCUUGGCUUCGGAUCAGUGCAGCUCUGGCCAUUGCGGCCAAUUAGGGAGUGAACCAACAGAUGGAAGACCUCUCUCAGUAACUCUGACUUUCAAAUAAAUCAAUCUUUAACAAAAAUGA